RNAcentral lists this ribosomal RNA (254 nucleotides) under uncultured bacterium. Its description in RNAcentral is "partial 16S ribosomal RNA". It matches the Rfam family "Bacterial small subunit ribosomal RNA", at positions 524 to 776 of the family's 1533-position model. The record is from RNAcentral.
UACAGACGGCGCAAGCGUUAUCCGGAAUGAUUGGGCGUAAAGCGUCUGUAGGUGGUUCGCGAAGUCUACUGUCAAAUCCCAGGGCUCAACCUUGGACAGGCAGUGGAGAACUCGCGGACUAGAGUACGGUAGGGGUAGAGGGAAUUCCCGGUGAAGCAGUGAAAUGCACAGAGAUCGGGAAGAACACCAGUGGCGAAGGCGCUCUACUAGGCCGUGACUGACACUGAGAGACGAUAGCUGGGGGAGCGAAUAGG